RNAcentral lists this ribosomal RNA (384 nucleotides) under Triticum aestivum (bread wheat). Its description in RNAcentral is "partial small subunit ribosomal RNA". The record is from RNAcentral. Lineage: Eukaryota; Viridiplantae; Streptophyta; Magnoliopsida; Poales; Poaceae.
GAUGAGCACUUGAAGCCUAAAGUGGGUAUGACAUUUGAAGGACUCGAGGCAGUAGAGAAGUUCUACAAGGCAUAUGCACAUGAAUCAGGUUUUGGUGUUCGAAUCGGACAACAGAAAAAGAUUGAUAAUAAGGUGGUCCGGACUAAGCGUUUCAUGUGUAAUAGGGAAGGAUUCAAGUCAAAAGAUAGUAACGAGACAGAUGACCCCUUGAAGAAAAGGCGUAAGCAAACAAAUACGCGAUGCGGUUGUGAUGCCCAUAUCUUUGUUAGACUUUGUGGGGACAACACCUAUAAGAUAGACUCAUGGGUUGAGCACCAUGUUCAUGGUCUUGUAUCACCUAAUAAGCGGCAUUUGAUCAGAUCGAAUCAUACAGUUAGUGAGAGG